RNAcentral lists this transfer RNA (75 nucleotides) under Peptoclostridium acidaminophilum DSM 3953. RNAcentral's name for it is "tRNA-Asn (GTT) (tRNA-Asn-GTT-1-1, tRNA-Asn-GTT-1-2)". It matches the Rfam family "tRNA". From Rfam's summary of the family: Transfer RNA (tRNA) molecules are approximately 80 nucleotides in length. Their secondary structure includes four short double-helical elements and three loops (D, anti-codon, and T loops). Lineage: Bacteria; Bacillati; Bacillota; Clostridia; Peptostreptococcales; Peptoclostridiaceae. The record is from RNAcentral.
UCCGGAGUAGCUCAAUGGCGGAGCAAUCGGCUGUUAACCGAGAGGUUGUGGGUUCGAAUCCCACCUCCGGAGCCA